AUUGCGCCUUGCGGCCUUUUCCUGCACUGCCCCUGCUGGUGCAUGGAGAUGGUAGUUUCCUGUCACAUUUUCAGUUUAUUAGAGUGUUUCGUUUGGGGCUGGAAGCCACGGGAUUGGAUAGCAAGGAGUUUGGGGGCCAUUCGUUACGUAUUGGGGCGGCUACUGAGGCCUCUAGGCUGGGCAUGCCUGUGCAGGUGGUUCAGAGGAUUGGUAGGUGGGAAUCAAGACGUUAUGUUUCCUAUGUUCGUCCGGAUGGUUUACUGU
This is a non-coding RNA of Pelobates cultripes (western spadefoot toad), 264 nucleotides long. Lineage: Eukaryota; Metazoa; Chordata; Amphibia; Anura; Pelobatidae. The record is from the annotation of a GenBank genome assembly.